CCUACGGGAGGCAGCAGUAGGGAAUAUUGCACAAUGGGGGAAACCCUGAAGCAGCGACGCCGCGUGAGGGAUGAAGGAUUUCGGUUUGUAAAGCCCUUUUGGUAGGGAAGAAAAUGACGGUACCUGACGAAUAAGCACCGGCUAACUACGUGCCAGCAGCCGCGGUAAUACGGAGGGUGCAAGCGUUAUUCGGAUUAACUGGGCGUAAAGAGCGCGUAGGCGGGAUAGCAAGUCAGAUGUGAAAUCCUAUGGCUUAACCAUAGAACUGCAUUUGAAACUGUUAUUCUAGAGUAUAGGAGAGGUAGGCGGAAUUCUUGGUGUAGCGGUGAAAUGCGUAGAUAUUAAGAGGAACACUCAUUGCGAAGGCGGCCUGCUAGACUAUAACUGACGUUGAUGCGCGAAAGCGUGGGGAGCAAACAGGAUUAGAUACCCCUGUAGUC
RNAcentral lists this ribosomal RNA (440 nucleotides) under uncultured bacterium. Its description in RNAcentral is "partial 16S ribosomal RNA". It matches the Rfam family "Bacterial small subunit ribosomal RNA", at positions 338 to 795 of the family's 1533-position model. The record is from RNAcentral.